UACGAAAGGUGCAAGCGUUACUCGGAAUUACUGGGCGUAAAGCGCACGUAGGCGGAUACUUAAGUCAGGGGUGAAAUCCCGGGGCUCAACCCCGGAACUGCCUUUGAUACUGGGUAUCUCGAGUCCGGAAGAGGUGAGUGGAAUUCCGAGUGUAGAGGUGAAAUUCGUAGAUAUUCGGAGGAACACCAGUGGCGAAGGCGGCUCACUGGUCCGGUACUGACGCUGAGGUGCGAAAGCGUGGGGAGCAAACAGG
Molecule: ribosomal RNA, 253 nt
Filed under: uncultured bacterium
Lineage: Bacteria
Description: partial 16S ribosomal RNA
Rfam family: Bacterial small subunit ribosomal RNA
Source: RNAcentral